UAUAUAUUUCCCUUAUGACUUAAGCAUCGGAGGGGCGAUGAAGACACACCUCAUUGUCUUUGUUGCAGGUACCGAAAGACCUUGUUCGUGCCCUUUCUCUUUCUUCAUGCUCGAGAGAUUUACCAGGUACGAUUUUUGGUAGUAUCAGUAAUACCGUCUGUGGGAACCACUACCAAAAGUCAUGGUGAAUAUACGAUCAGGUCUUCCUCCAGCAAACUCAUCCAUUCCAAACCAUCCUCCUGCUGAAGAUCCUCCGACUUCUCAAAAAGAAUAAACAGAACUACCAAUACCCCAACCAACAGUUGUUACCACUAGAGCAUUCAAGGAACAUCGUCAACAACUUUUCAGCUUGACUCAACUACUGAACCCAAGCACCACACCUACACUUCCGACCCCCGCACCAGAAAGCAUAUUUAUGGCCGAUGCUUGAGCUCGAGGUUCCGUUCUUAUUGUUCAUGCUGUUGGGACCUCGGGCAUAUAGCCCAUGCCCCCGGCCUCAAGGUUGGUCACUUGAACAUCGUGGAAGGCUAGUCCACGUGGAAGUACUAGUAUAGCUCGAGCUCUAGCCUAAAAGAAAAGCUACCCGUGGAAUGACCACAACCUAAAGCUUUAUUGCAAGUAGCUAUCCCAGACCCCAAGUAUGUAGAUUGCUUAAUAUGUGUCCUUUUAGCCUUGUGU
RNAcentral lists this long non-coding RNA (678 nucleotides) under Olea europaea subsp. europaea. The record is from RNAcentral. Lineage: Eukaryota; Viridiplantae; Streptophyta; Magnoliopsida; Lamiales; Oleaceae.